UACGUAGGGUGCAAGCGUUAAUCGGAAUUACUGGGCGUAAAGCGCGCGCAGGCGGCUGUGCAAGACAGGUGGGAAAUCCCCGGGCUUAACCUGGGAACUGCACUUGUGACUGCACAGCUGGAGUGCGGCAGAGGGGGAUGGAAUUCCGCGUGUAGCAGUGAAAUGCGUAGAUAUGUGGAGGAACACCGAUGGCGAAGGCAGCCCCCUGGGUUAACACUGACGCUCAUGCACGAAAGCGUGGGGAGCAAACAGG
This 253-nucleotide ribosomal RNA is filed under the name uncultured bacterium. Its description in RNAcentral is "partial 16S ribosomal RNA". It matches the Rfam family "Bacterial small subunit ribosomal RNA", at positions 524 to 776 of the family's 1533-position model. The record is from RNAcentral.